Molecule: transfer RNA, 75 nt
Filed under: Planctomycetota bacterium
Lineage: Bacteria; Pseudomonadati; Planctomycetota
Description: tRNA-Thr
Rfam family: tRNA
About the family: Transfer RNA (tRNA) molecules are approximately 80 nucleotides in length. Their secondary structure includes four short double-helical elements and three loops (D, anti-codon, and T loops).
Source: RNAcentral
GCUGCCAUAGCUCAGUGGUAGAGCACCUCCUUGGUAAGGAGGAGGUCAUGGGUUCAAGUCCCAUUGGCAGCUCCA